GUUACUGUGGCAGAGUGGUUAAUGCAGAAGGCCUAAGCCCUUCCCGCCAUGGGUUCAAUUCCCAUCAGUAACU
Molecule: transfer RNA, 73 nt
Filed under: Balanoglossus carnosus
Lineage: Eukaryota; Metazoa; Hemichordata; Enteropneusta; Ptychoderidae
Description: tRNA-Leu
Rfam family: tRNA
About the family: Transfer RNA (tRNA) molecules are approximately 80 nucleotides in length.
Source: RNAcentral